UUCUUUACCACAUCCGUUUAUCAGCAAGGUCUUUGCGGCCUGUACCUUGUGCUGACGUCCUAUCCCAUCCUGUGACUAAGAAUGCCUAACCAUCUGGGAAUGCAGUCCAUUUUAUUUCAACAGGGUUAACAUAAACAUAGUGUUUUAAGCUUAAAAUGAUGGAAAACCCCUACGUAGAUCUUCCAACGUGGACAUUCCAACAGGAAGCUAUAAAGAGAAGUAAAAGUGACAGCACAUUAUCAGUGAAAAAUAAGACUAGGUUUAAAAAGAAUUACAGACGCUCUUCCAGGUGGCAGACCCGAGUCAGCCAGGAACUGUCAACCUGGAGAUGAAGUGCCUCGCUGGGUGGCCUGCGCAUCAUGUGUGAUGAGGGAAGUGCUCCUGCUGUCACUCAGUCAUGAAUUCCUGUGCGUGGUGGGUUCCAGCAGUCAGCCAGAGGCUAUCAUCAAACUUGUUUUGCUUUGUAUUAAAUUAAACUCACUAGAAACAGUGCAAGGUCAGGAAAGGCAGUUAUCAAGGCCUUCGACCUCUAAGACUUUACAUUUGCUGUGAGUAGACCUUAGCAUGCCAGGAGAAGUUUCUCAUCAAAACCCAGCUUCCAUCAGCAAAGACAGGAGGAAGCCAAGUCAGGACCAGAGCCCCCUCUCUCCUGUAGACGGAGGAUACAUUCAGGAACUCAGAACCUGGAGGAGAGAAUGUUCAAACCAGAAGGCCCCUGGAAGACUGUGCCUGAAACGCGGCUAAGGCACCACCAGGCUGAACAGAAAACGGGGGCCUUAUCAGAGAGAAGGGAAGGGCCCCAUAGUCCAAACGCCCAGGAGGCUCCGACCUGACCCGCGGCCACGAGUGUUUGCUGCAGGACGAGAAUCUGGGGAAGAUGCAGCCAAGAAAAUGGCCUGGCCGGGCCGGGAAGAGCAGCCCACAGAGACCCGCAGCACAGAGAGGGAUGCGGGGAGCCUGCCCUGGGAGCCACCCCGGCUGAGGCUCAGGAGGGGAGCUGCGAAGCCUGAAACCCAUCGAUGAUGGCUGGUGAUGAAAACAUGUGGGUGGACCUGCUUUGAUGGCGAGAUGGACAGGUCUGAGCUCACACAUCCUCGGGAAAACAAAUAAAACUCUGUGGAAAUGGACAUGAGACACUGGGCCCUCAUUCCCCAACUUGUAGAGAUGACUGAGAAAAGCUUCCAGAAACUCGAGGACAUCACAACUUCCAGCUGGGUCAAACUCAGGGUGCUGUGAGGCCUGGGCAGAGAGACCCCCAGGGUUUCCCAGGGAUGGCGGAGUCUCUGGAGGAAGGAGACACCAUGAAGAUGGGGAUGGAAGCUGCCUGCCCCAUGGAGAGGGGAGGGGGCCGGCCACUCUCACCCCUCGAACAAAAACCGGGUGGAACCUGAGAGGAGCAAAGAAACAAACACAACCCUCACACACCUCAGGACACACACACAACACCUCACACACCUCAGGACACA
Molecule: long non-coding RNA, 1466 nt
Filed under: Homo sapiens (human)
Lineage: Eukaryota; Metazoa; Chordata; Mammalia; Primates; Hominidae
Description: HSALNT0338484
Source: RNAcentral